GUCCACGGCCAUAUCACCCUGAAUGCGCCCAAUCUUGUCUGAUCUCGGAAGCUAAGCAGGGUUGAGCCUGGCUAGUACUUGGAUGGGAGAAGGGAACAUUAAACCUGGGAAGACCUAGAAGAAAGGGCU
RNAcentral lists this ribosomal RNA (129 nucleotides) under Propithecus coquereli (Coquerel's sifaka). Lineage: Eukaryota; Metazoa; Chordata; Mammalia; Primates; Indriidae. The record is from RNAcentral.